Peromyscus californicus insignis is the source of this 412-nucleotide long non-coding RNA. RefSeq lists it as uncharacterized. The record is from RefSeq and is a predicted model, not a curated record. NCBI's taxonomy places the organism in Eukaryota, Metazoa, Chordata, Mammalia, Rodentia, Cricetidae. The transcript has 3 exons.
CUGCGCGAGGUGGCCAGGCCUGAGAAGCCAAGGGAGCGUUUGAGUCUAGUCCUUAUCUCCCCGUCACCCUCAGACGCGGCUUUUUCUCUUUCUCACACUUGGAGUACAGUUAGAAAUAGCCAUGGAUAAAGAGGAAUUUCAUGUGAAAUUUUUCAUGUGUGUGGUUCAGUCUCGCCGAGUAGUCAGGACGGCUGAGAGCACAGAUGAGGAAGCUUCAGCUUCCAACGUGAUCAUAUCAACGCAACAUGCAAAGACAGAUCUCUUGAAGAUACUAGAAACUAUGGAUGAGCCAAACACCAUGGGACCUGUUCUUGAAACUGGUGAGGCAUGUGGGUAAACAAUGUGGGUGGGUGUGAAAAGAGGUAUUGGAUAGCAAAAGGUUUAUUCAUAGUAGUAUGAGUCACAGCAGGCC